Rhipicephalus sanguineus (brown dog tick) is the source of this 367-nucleotide long non-coding RNA. RefSeq lists it as uncharacterized. The transcript has 3 exons. NCBI's taxonomy places the organism in Eukaryota, Metazoa, Arthropoda, Arachnida, Ixodida, Ixodidae. The record is from RefSeq and is a predicted model, not a curated record.
CAGAAAAGAAGUAAUACUGCUCUCUUGGAGGAAUGCAGGCCAGAACUAACAAAAGAGGUGGCAUUGGCAGAGUUGCAGUUAUUGGCUUCGAACAGCUUAAAAGGGGCCACAGUCAACUACGAAAGGGUUUUGUGCCUCUUGAGAGCCACAUACCAAGACCGCUGCCAACACCAUGUAGACCCCUUGCCAAAUUAUUUUUUGGUGGAAGAAACUCUUUGUGCUGAGCUUCAACUGCGCUUUGGGUUCACUGUGGAUGAAGCGGAACAACUGCUAAAAAAGGCGGCACAGGUUUUCUCAGAGAAGGAAGGAAGGAAAACUUCAUUUUUGAGCUCUCGAAGCACUUGCAAGGUUCGUCAGAGCACUCACU